Molecule: ribosomal RNA, 2976 nt
Filed under: Salmonella enterica subsp. enterica serovar Weltevreden
Lineage: Bacteria; Pseudomonadati; Pseudomonadota; Gammaproteobacteria; Enterobacterales; Enterobacteriaceae
Description: bacterial LSU rRNA
Rfam family: Bacterial large subunit ribosomal RNA
Source: RNAcentral
ACUAAGCGUACACGGUGGAUGCCCUGGCAGUCAGAGGCGAUGAAGGGCGUGCUAAUCUGCGAUAAGCGCCGGUAAGGUGAUAUGAACCGUUAUAACCGGCGAUACCCGAAUGGGGAAACCCAGUGUGAUUCGUCACACUAUCAUUAACUGAAUCCAUAGGUUAAUGAGGCGAACCGGGGGAACUGAAACAUCUAAGUACCCCGAGGAAAAGAAAUCAACCGAGAUUCCCCCAGUAGCGGCGAGCGAACGGGGAGGAGCCCAGAGCCUGAAUCAGCAUGUGUGUUAGUGGAAGCGUCUGGAAAGGCGCGCGAUACAGGGUGACAGCCCCGUACACAAAAGCGCAUGUGCUGUGAGCUCGAUGAGUAGGGCGGGACACGUGGUAUCCUGUCUGAAUAUGGGGGGACCAUCCUCCAAGGCUAAAUACUCCUGACUGACCGAUAGUGAACCAGUACCGUGAGGGAAAGGCGAAAAGAACCCCGGCGAGGGGAGUGAAAAAGAACCUGAAACCGUGUACGUACAAGCAGUGGGAGCCCCACCACCAAAGCGUUUCGCUUUGUGUGGUGCACAAAGAAGCGUAACGACAGCACUGAAUGACGGUUAACGGAGCGCAAGCGACGUUCAACAUACAAAGUCAAGCAGUGGAGCGCUUUGGGGUGGGGUGACUGCGUACCUUUUGUAUAAUGGGUCAGCGACUUAUAUUCUGUAGCAAGGUUAACCGAAUAGGGGAGCCGGAGGGAAACCGAGUCUUAAUUGGGCGUUAAGUUGCAGGGUAUAGACCCGAAACCCGGUGAUCUAGCCAUGGGCAGGUUGAAGGUUGGGUAACACUAACUGGAGGACCGAACCGACUAAUGUUGAAAAAUUAGCGGAUGACCUGUGGCUGGGGGUGAAAGGCCAAUCAAACCGGGAGAUAGCUGGUUCUCCCCGAAAGCUAUUUAGGUAGCGCCUCGUGAAUUCAUCUCCGGGGGUAGAGCACUGUUUCGGCUAGGGGGCCAUCCCGGCUUACCAACCCGAUGCAAACUGCGAAUACCGGAGAAUGUUAUCACGGGAGACACACGGCGGGUGCUAACGUCCGUCGUGAAGAGGGAAACAACCCAGACCGCCAGCUAAGGUCCCAAAGUCAUGGUUAAGUGGGAAACGAUGUGGGAAGGCCCAGACAGCCAGGAUGUUGGCUUAGAAGCAGCCAUCAUUUAAAGAAAGCGUAAUAGCUCACUGGUCGAGUCGGCCUGCGCGGAAGAUGUAACGGGGCUAAACCAUGCACCGAAGCUGCGGCAGCGACGCUUAUGCGUUGUUGGGUAGGGGAGCGUUCUGUAAGCCUGUGAAGGUGGCCUGUGAGGGUUGCUGGAGGUAUCAGAAGUGCGAAUGCUGACAUAAGUAACGAUAAAGCGGGUGAAAAGCCCGCUCGCCGGAAGACCAAGGGUUCCUGUCCAACGUUAAUCGGGGCAGGGUGAGUCGACCCCUAAGGCGAGGCCGAAAGGCGUAGUCGAUGGGAAACGGGUUAAUAUUCCCGUACUUGGUGUUACUGCGAAGGGGGGACGGAGAAGGCUAUGUUGGCCGGGCGACGGUUGUCCCGGUUUAAGCGUGUAGGUGUGUGUUCCAGGUAAAUCCGGUUCACUUUAACACUGAGGCGUGAUGACGAGGCACUACGGUGCUGAAGCAACAAAUGCCCUGCUUCCAGGAAAAGCCUCUAAGCAUCAGGUAACAUCAAAUCGUACCCCAAACCGACACAGGUGGUCAGGUAGAGAAUACCAAGGCGCUUGAGAGAACUCGGGUGAAGGAACUAGGCAAAAUGGUGCCGUAACUUCGGGAGAAGGCACGCUGANUCAGUCGAAGAUACCAGCUGGCUGCAACUGUUUAUUAAAAACACAGCACUGUGCAAACACGAAAGUGGACGUAUACGGUGUGACGCCUGCCCGGUGCCGGAAGGUUAAUUGAUGGGGUCAGCGCAAGCGAAGCUCCUGAUCGAAGCCCCGGUAAACGGCGGCCGUAACUAUAACGGUCCUAAGGUAGCGAAAUUCCUUGUCGGGUAAGUUCCGACCUGCACGAAUGGCGUAAUGAUGGCCAGGCUGUCUCCACCCGAGACUCAGUGAAAUUGAACUCGCUGUGAAGAUGCAGUGUACCCGCGGCAAGACGGAAAGACCCCGUGAACCUUUACUAUAGCUUGACACUGAACAUUGAGCCUUGAUGUGUAGGAUAGGUGGGAGGCUUUGAAGCGUGGACGCCAGUCUGCGUGGAGCCGACCUUGAAAUACCACCCUUUAAUGUUUGAUGUUCUAACGUGGACCCGUUACCCGGGUUGCGGACAGUGUCUGGUGGGUAGUUUGACUGGGGCGGUCUCCUCCUAAAGAGUAACGGAGGAGCACGAAGGUUGGCUAAUCCUGGUCGGACAUCAGGAGGUUAGUGCAAUGGCAUAAGCCAGCUUGACUGCGAGCGUGACGGCGCGAGCAGGUGCGAAAGCAGGUCAUAGUGAUCCGGUGGUUCUGAAUGGAAGGGCCAUCGCUCAACGGAUAAAAGGUACUCCGGGGAUAACAGGCUGAUACCGCCCAAGAGUUCAUAUCGACGGCGGUGUUUGGCACCUCGAUGUCGGCUCAUCACAUCCUGGGGCUGAAGUAGGUCCCAAGGGUAUGGCUGUUCGCCAUUUAAAGUGGUACGCGAGCUGGGUUUAGAACGUCGUGAGACAGUUCGGUCCCUAUCUGCCGUGGGCGCUGGAGAACUGAGGGGGGCUGCUCCUAGUACGAGAGGACCGGAGUGGACGCAUCACUGGUGUUCGGGUUGUCAUGCCAAUGGCACUGCCCGGUAGCUAAAUGCGGAAGAGAUAAGUGCUGAAAGCAUCUAAGCACGAAACUUGCCCCGAGAUGAGUUCUCCCUGAGACUUAGAGUCUCCUGAAGGAACGUUGAAGACGACGACGUUGAUAGGCCGGGUGUGUAAGCGCAGCGAUGCGUUGAGCUAACCGGUACUAAUGAACCGUGAGGCUUAACC